Molecule: ribosomal RNA, 454 nt
Filed under: uncultured bacterium
Lineage: Bacteria
Description: partial 16S ribosomal RNA
Rfam family: Bacterial small subunit ribosomal RNA
Source: RNAcentral
GAUGAACGCUGACAGAAUGCUUAACACAUGCAAGUCGACUUGAACUUCGGUUUGUGUGGCGGACGGGUGAGUAACGCGUAAAGAACUUGCCUCACAGAUAGGGACAACAUUUGGAAACGAAUGCUAAUACCUGAUAUUAUGAUUAUAUGGCAUCGUAUAAUUAUGAAAGCUAUAUGCGCUGUGAGAGAGCUUUGCGUCCCAUUAGCUAGCUGGAGAGGUAACGGCUCACCAAGGCGAUGAUGGGUAGCCGGCCUGAGAGGGUGAUCGGCCACAAGGGGACUGAGACACGGCCCUUACUCCUACGGGAGGCAGCAGUGGGGAAUAUUGGACAAUGGACCAAGAGUCUGAUCCAGCAAUUCUUUGUGCACGAUGAAGUUUUUCGGAAUGUAAAGUGCUUUCAGUUGGGAAGAAAAAAAUGACGGUACCAACAGAAGAAGUGACGGCUAAAUACGUG